RNAcentral lists this long non-coding RNA (1277 nucleotides) under Triticum aestivum (bread wheat). RNAcentral's name for it is "long non-coding RNA (TAES_LNC001633)". The record is from RNAcentral. Lineage: Eukaryota; Viridiplantae; Streptophyta; Magnoliopsida; Poales; Poaceae.
AUGUACUUAUUGAUUUCAUAUAUGGUGCAGGGUAGUUGAUUCUUUAGAAGUAUUUGGAGCAACCAAAAUUGAAGUGAGAACACGAUACUUCACUGGUGUGUCCAUACAUAUGUCUAUAUAUACGGUGGAACUCCAAGUGAGUAUGAAUCAAAUGAAUGAUGCCCCAAGAGCUCAUGUGCAUUUCAAAAUGUUCUAUUCCUCCCACAUUCAGCCAACUGGAGUAUCCUGCUCUCCCUUCUAGAGGUUCUACAGUUCAAUCGUAUGUUACAAAUCAGGUGCUUGCAUUCUGUUGUAUCAAGAUGUGUAAAUAGUUAGUAAGUUGUCUAUUGGUUACCAAGUUCAUUGACUUAUGAAGGAACUCUAACUCACGAAAGUCUACAUGGAAUGAGUUCUGUAGUUCUCAUAUAUUUUUUACUAAAAGAAAAAUGAAUUUACUUGGUUCAUCUUUUUGUUCUGUAGUAAUCGAUCAUAUCAUAUAGUUUUGAAGGAUCUGACAUUUUAAGUUGUCUAUAAGUAUGCAUGCUUGGGACAAGGGUGGAUGAAAUAUCAAUUGGGAUUAGUAGGGUGUAUUUUUACUUGGUGUGUCCACGCGUAUGUUUGUUACUGAUCAUACCAAUAUAUAUCUUCUAGAACUGAUGGUGAGUUGUAUGUUACUCUGUGUUGUGUAUAAUGGAUUCUUUCUUGCCUAUUUUCCCUGUCAUGACAAGGUUUCAAUAGCGUAUCUCCCGUAGCAACGCACGGGCGAAGGAGGCAGUUGUCACCGACGGCGGGGCCGAAUGUGUUGGACGCGCACACUCGCCCGCAGUCAACGCAGACAUACUUAGCGACCGUCCAUGGCGGCGAGUGGCUCCGGGGGGUGGCGACGGGGUUGGGUGGUUCAAGCGGCCACUUCUGCAGCUACAUGGGAUUUCUUCAGGACCAUCAGCAGGUACAGGAUUUCUUUAGGAUGAUGACUCAGACCAUAUCUGCAUGCAGAUAACACAUAUGAACUUCUCCUGAGAUUGUGACUCAGUUACAUGGUGAUUUACUGUUAAAUUAUAUUGUUGGGGGAUUGUGCAAUGCGACUAAAUGAAAACUGGCUGUGAAUGGAUAUGCGCUUAAAAGACUGUAAAAACUGAGUGUUAGCAUCAAUGUAGAUAUCUAGGAGUGAUUUAGUAGGAUGUCGAAUCUAAACUACAGAAAACAUGCAUCCGAUGGAGUAAUGUUGUUCUAUGGCCCUUCAUGGAAUAAUAAAUUUGACAUGUUCCCAUUGUGCUUUGCAGAAUUGUUCAUGGAAG